RNAcentral lists this long non-coding RNA (1730 nucleotides) under Vitis vinifera (wine grape). RNAcentral describes it as "long non-coding RNA (VVIN_LNC005689)". Lineage: Eukaryota; Viridiplantae; Streptophyta; Magnoliopsida; Vitales; Vitaceae. The record is from RNAcentral.
ACCAUACAAGGCUUCCAAAAUCAUGGAUGAGAUCACACCCAAAUCAUUGUCAAACCCCAUCAUCAAUUCAUAUUUCAAGAGAACCUAGGAACAGCCUUGCAAACCAAGGACUGUUUCAUCUCCAUUGAGAGCUUGAGGCACUCAGACAAGUCCACACCAGAGUCACAAGCAACCCAUUUGAAGUUUUGGAGCAAUUGAGCCAACCACAGUUGCACAGUUGCUAAACCCAUUGCUUUCCCAGGACAAACCCUUCUUCCAGAGCCAAAUGGUGCCAACCUAAGAUCAGAACCCAAAAUGCUCACAUCCUCCUCCAUAAAGCGACUUGGCUUGAAUUCCUUAGGCUCAUCCCACACAGCAUCAUCAUGGGUUAUUGCCCACAUAUUCACCAUAGCUGUGGUGCCUGCAGGGAUGAAGUGCGAACCAAUGUGGGUAUCAUGAAUGGAAAGGCGUGCCCAGGAAAGGAGCGGGCCAGGUGGAUGCAUGCGGAGAGUUUCCUUUACUAUGGCAUGGAGAUAAGGGAGUUUAUGAAUGUCUGAAUCAGACACCAGUCGGGUGGCUCCAACCACUGCAUCUAUUUCAGAUUGGGCUUUGGAUUGAAUAUCGGGGUGUAAAACCAUUCUUGCAAGAAUCCACUCCAACAGAAUUGCCACCGUGUCAGUCCCUCUAAAGAUCAUUUCCUGAGAUUGCAACAUAUUUCCAAUUACACAAACGUGUGAAGAUUAAAUAAAACACGAUGAUAAUAAAGAAAAAGUCAAGGAAAAGAAAUGCAUCACCAUGACAAAGCAUAAAUUGUAAAGCAUAAGAAACAAAGACAGGAAAGAAAGAAAAGAAAGAAAAUGAAUCUUAUCACGGUGAAAAGAGAAACUAUUCAGAUUCUCAAUAUCUAUGGAUGCCCAAAAAAACAAACUUAAAGAAAAGACCUGGCUAUUUCAAGCAUCAAUGUAACAGUAACAAAGAGGGAAAAUGCAUAAAAAGGCUAAAAACUAAAACAUGAAAAACCUAGUGAAUGCAACCACAAAAAAAAGGUCUAAUGAGAAAAAAAAACCUUUGUCAAGAUGUGCUGGGGAAGCACACCAAGAACAGAAAAUGAACAUAUUUCUACAGUAGGUGAUGAACCUGACAAUAGAAUGUUUGAAGGCGCUUACCCAUAAAACAGCAAUCAUAUCAGAGUCGCUGAGCCUGCUUUCCUUUUCCAAAUCGAGUAAGACGUCAACAAAAUCGCCUGAACUGUCAUCACCAUCACGACCCACUUCUCCAUCACCAACCCUCCUGAGCCUGUGCUCAUCUAUGAUCCUGGAAACAAAAACGUUCACCUUCGAAACCAACUUUUUGCAUCUCUUUCUCACUCCUUGCAAGUCCAACCACCCGAGAAGCGGUAAGUGGUCACUCCAGUUGAAUAUACCAAGCAGUUCGUACCCUUCACUCACCAGGCUCUCAAGCUCAACCGCAUCACCAGAAACACCUUUUCCAAAGUCGUAGCUCCUUCCAAACACGCUCAUCAUCACAUUGUUCAAAGACCCAAAAUGCAACACUUUCUUCACCUUCACCUCACCUUUCUUCUCCAUCAAAACCCUAAUCUCAUCCACCAUUUUCAACCCAAUAGUCCUCCGAAACUCCCCGAAACCAGCGAUUCUCCUCGGACUGAACAAAUGGGUGGCCGAAAUCCUCCUCAGAUUUCUCCAGUACACCCCGAACGGAGCAAAACCCAUUGCUCGGUGGAAUAAAAGCUC